RNAcentral lists this ribosomal RNA (117 nucleotides) under Danio rerio (zebrafish). The record is from RNAcentral. Lineage: Eukaryota; Metazoa; Chordata; Actinopteri; Cypriniformes; Danionidae.
CUGCACAGCCAUAUCACCCUGCUGCCAAAGACCGGUUACUCACUGAAGCUAAGCAGGGCUGAGCCUGGUCAGUACCUGGAUGGGAGACCACAAGGGAACACUAGGUUGCUGUUGGAA